AUGUCCAUCAGUCGGAAGAACUGGUCGGCGCUGUCCAGCCUCGCGCGCCAGUGGACGAUGGAGGACGAGGAAGAGGUGGAGCGAGAGAGGAGGAGGAGGGUGAAGAGCUCGAGCGGCGCCGACCCCGACUCUGACGUGGACCACGCAUCCCGAGCGUCGCCCCCCGCUGGGACAGACCCCACCAGUGAGACGUCCCAGAGUCUCAGCAGUGUGGAGCAGAUCCAAAUGGACUUUGUGGAGAUGCUGCGCGUCCGCGAUGAGAAGCGGCGGAUGAGGCACGUGGAGACGCUGCGGCGGCAGAAGGAGGAAGGUGACGACGAAGGAGCCAACGGAGGAGGCGGCGCCAGGGUGGAGCUCCUGGGGGACGUGAACGAGGAGCGCGGCGGCGAGGCGCCCCCUGCGAGAGCCGCGUCCGGACCGCAGCCCCCGAGAACGGCCUCGUCCAGUCACAGCGGCAGCGGCGCCGGCACCAACGGCAUCCCACACCGACAGGCUGAAGGCAGCGAGUCGCUGGGGAAGAGCCCUAAUCCCUCGCCGCCGGUGAACCCGGCCCGCAAGUUCGUCAGCUCCGUCUCCAUCUCGCUCGACAAGGGCUCCCCCUCGAGCGGCCGCAGCGCCCCCAUGAGCCCGCUCUCUCCGGCCGGCCCCGCGUCUCCUCCGCCGCCCUGGUCGCCCUGCCAGAGCCCGCCCCCCCGCGGAGCCAAGAGCCCCGCUCACAACGGAUACGCGCAGCAGACCAGUGACAGCGUCUUUUCCCCCGGCGGCACCUCUGAACAGACGACCAAGCCCUUCAUCAGACAGAGCUCCAGGACUUUGUCUUUCAGGAUGAUGAAGAAGAAAGAGGAGGAGAGCUCGCCGCUGCAGAGGAGUGCAAGUGUGAGAAUGGCUACGAAGAAGUUUGAGUCCAACACAAAUGAAAAUGAAGAAAGUCCAGGAUCUUUUCAACGAAACUCUAGGCAGAGGAUUUCAUCCAGGUCCAUCCAGGAGAAGAUGGAGAGACUGGCUCAGGCUGCACAGAAGUCAGAAGUAACGCGGUCUCCAGAUGUGACUCAGAGGACGUUGUUCCUGAUGGAAGAGGUGUCGAGGAAGAGAGGCCUGUUUGAGAAGGACCAGCAGACAGCGGCGUCCAGCAGCCCUGGAGUUUCACGACAGGAAUUUAGGAACUUUGCAUCGGGGAUGUCAGACCGGAUCAGCCGCUGGCUCAACAAGACCAACCCAACUGGGUCCUUGCACACAUCUGCUGACUUGAGACACGUGGACAUCGGCAGUAAGAGGAGUCUGUUUGAGGCCACAGCAGACGCCUCUGCCUCUAAAAGCAGCCAGACGAAGUAACGUACUGUCCAGGAUUAAGAAGAGAAGGAGACGAAGACAACUGGAAGAUUAAUGGAUGUUGUGACUUGUGGUUUCUUUCAGGCUUUUCUUGUGUUUUUUUUUUACUUAACUGCGAAAACAAAUAGAAGGAACAGACAAGAGAGACAAGCUGAGUUCAGCAUUAGGAGAGAAAAUGGAGAAUUCUGCUUCGGCUCAUAAAGGCUUCAUACACGUCUGCAUUUUCAGGAUUAAGAUAAAAUAUUUGUGUCACUUGUUUCCUCGCCGUUGAGUAGAAGGUAAAAAGCAAAGCAGACAGCGUGAUCUGUGUAAUGUUCCAUGCACUUUAAACAGAUGACGCCCGCAAUGCUGCUGAUGCUCACGUUUAAUAAAUCACAGCCACCGAAACA
Long non-coding RNA from Betta splendens (Siamese fighting fish), 1718 nucleotides. Ensembl annotates it as ladinin 1. The record is from Ensembl. Lineage: Eukaryota; Metazoa; Chordata; Actinopteri; Anabantiformes; Osphronemidae.